RNAcentral lists this transfer RNA (73 nucleotides) under Anaeromyxobacter dehalogenans 2CP-C. RNAcentral describes it as "tRNA-Ile2 (CAT) (tRNA-Ile2-CAT-1-1)". It matches the Rfam family "tRNA". Rfam says of the family: Transfer RNA (tRNA) molecules are approximately 80 nucleotides in length. Their secondary structure includes four short double-helical elements and three loops (D, anti-codon, and T loops). The record is from Rfam by way of RNAcentral. Lineage: Bacteria; Pseudomonadati; Myxococcota; Myxococcia; Myxococcales; Anaeromyxobacteraceae. RNAcentral also lists the same sequence under 5 other names.
GGGCCCAUAGCUCAACGGUCAGAGCGCUCGGCUCAUAACCGAUGCGAUCCAGGUUCGAAUCCUGGUGGGCCCA